RNAcentral lists this long non-coding RNA (1677 nucleotides) under Anas platyrhynchos platyrhynchos (common mallard). RNAcentral describes it as "lncRNA (ENSAPLG00000024445.1)". Lineage: Eukaryota; Metazoa; Chordata; Aves; Anseriformes; Anatidae. The record is from RNAcentral.
CUGAUAUCUAUUAAUUUCUGCACUCUGCGAGGGCUGGCAUGUUUGUGAAGCAGACCGGCAUACCACAGGAAAAAAAAAAAAUGACAUUUUCUUUUGUUUGUAUGACAUGAAGAUGAAAAUUUGAUUUGAGGCUAUUUAAGUCUAAUCAGCAAGUAAAUACGACAGGCAGGCUUAGCAAACUUCUGAGCAUAGGAAAAAUGAAAAACAAGAUGCACAAUUCUGUAACCUAAUGGUAUGCUUAUGUAUCAGCCAAAAGCCUCAACAAAGCCUCAAGUCACAGAAAAACAAUUUUAAUAAAACUGUUUAUUCUAGACUGUUGAAUUAACUAGGACAUAGUAAGCAAAUCUAGUAUGUGAAGUUAUGAGGCUUGCGAUACAGCUCUUUUAUGUUCAAAAGAACCCAAUGGUAAAUGUGAAUCUGUAAACAAUUAUGGAGAGGAGGAGUGCUCUAACAAACCUUUUCCUUUCUACAGCCCUUCUAAACUCCACACCCACUUCUUCUGCUGACAUGUUGAACACCUGUGUGAGAUGGUGCUUUUGAAAAUGGGUACCAGAAUAAUAUUGUCCAAUGUUUUGUGGCCCCACUGAAGACCCUGUGACUUCCAAGAAACUCCAGAGAAAUUGAUUCUGAUCCCCAUCCUGCUAAGCCUCAGUGCAGUGCAAUGUACUUAACUCCAAGAGCCGCGAAUGACAAGCCUUGGUUGCUGCCACUUGCUGCCUUUCGUCUGGAUCCAGUGUUUCCAGUCAGCCAGCUUGAAUUAAUUUACCAUUGGAAACAAGGAGGCCCCAUUCCUACAGGCUGCCUGUCCAGCAGGUGAGAAAAUUUUCUCCCAAACCUGAAGAGUGAUGGAAUCAGAAGACUACAAGCUGUCCUGGAAAGUAGGAAUUCAGCCCCUUUUUACCCCUGUGGAAGCUGCACCAGCCUGCAGGUUGGAAAAAAAUCGUUGAUCAGUAAACCCAAGAGAGAUCAUCAGGAGGUAUGUGACAGUUUACUAACUUAGUGGUUGUCAUCUGCCUGGAAUGGAGAAUAGCUGUCUCUGAUUCCUAUAUCCCAAACUAUGUCAGCAUCUUAGUUUAAACAGUAGCUGAAGUAAUAUAUUUAGUGUUGAGAGCAGGAAUUGAAAACUAGAACUUUCAGUACUGCUGGUUCUGGAUGACAAUUCACCACUGUGUUUGCAAUACUUGUUUUUUCUCAGACUGUAUACAUCUAACAUUCACUGUUGUAAAGACACUGUGUCAAAAGCAGAAACAAUAUAACAAUAUCCUCCCUCAGCCUGAUUCUUGCACAACAUUAUCUAUGGUCUGACCACAGGCACCAAAUCAAACUUUCAGUGCUUUAGAUUCAGGGAAAACUUAUUUGUGAAUCCCAAAUCAUAUGUGGAAUAAUCAAAAAGGUGUGUAGCAAAGUAUAUCAAUGUUUUUGGCAGUGCACAAUUACGGAAUAAUUUUAGUCAUCAUUUUCACUCUGCUAGUAAAAAUACAGGUGUGUGUUGACUUCUGGUUGCUUAAACACAUAGAAGAUUAGUUACUGUUUUUACAUCUCUGCUGGUUUUACUGCCUUGAACUUCAAUAUCUACAUGCUAUAUAAUUCACAAUUUACCAUCUGUUCUUUUUCCCCCUCAAUUGGGAAAUCCAGUCCUUAGCAAAAUGAGAUGCAUGUGGGAACAUUCAAAGGCCA